Molecule: long non-coding RNA, 175 nt
Organism: Sinocyclocheilus grahami
Lineage: Eukaryota; Metazoa; Chordata; Actinopteri; Cypriniformes; Cyprinidae
Exons: 3
Source: RefSeq, a predicted model, not a curated record
GUUGUCUCUACAGCCAAUCAACUUGCCUCUGAGUCAACCAAUCACAGAACCUAACCCUGAAACAACAGAGACAAGCGACUUGCCUCUGAUUCAACCAAUAACAGAACCUGAAACAACAGAGACAAGCAACUUGCCUCUGAGUCAACCAAUCACAGAACCUGAAACAACAAAUGAU